Molecule: ribosomal RNA, 404 nt
Filed under: uncultured prokaryote
Description: bacterial SSU rRNA
Rfam family: Bacterial small subunit ribosomal RNA
Source: RNAcentral
UGGGGAAUAUUGCACAAUGGGCGAAAGCCUGAUGCAGCAACGCCGCGUGAGCGAUGAAGGCCUUCGGGUCGUAAAGCUCUGUCCUCAAGGAAGAUAAUAACGGUACUUGAGGAGGAAGCCCCGGCUAACUACGUGCCAGCAGCCGCGGUAAUACGUAGGGGGCGAGCGUUGUCCGGAAUGAUUGGGCGUAAAGGGCGCGUAGGCGGCCUGGUAAGUCUGGAGUGAAAGUCCUGCUUUCAAGGUGGGAAUUGCUUUGGAUACUGCUAGGCUCGAGUGCAGGAGAGGAAAGCGGAAUUACCGGUGUAGCGGUGAAAUGCGUAGAGAUCGGUAGGAACACCAGUGGCGAAGGCGGCUUUCUGGACUGAAACUGACGCUGAGGCGCGAAAGCGUGGGGAGCAAACAGG